UACGUAGGGCGCAAGCGUUAUCCGGAAUUAUUGGGCGUAAAGAGCUCGUAGGCGGUUUGUCGCGUCUGCCGUGAAAGUCCGGGGCUCAACUCCGGAUCUGCGGUGGGUACGGGCAGCCUAGAGUGAUGUAGGGGAGACUGGAAUUCCUGGUGUAGCGGUGAAAUGCGCAGAUAUCAGGAGGAACACCGAUGGCGAAGGCAGGUCUCUGGGCAUUAACUGACGCUGAGGAGCGAAAGCAUGGGGAGCGAACAGG
Molecule: ribosomal RNA, 253 nt
Filed under: uncultured bacterium
Lineage: Bacteria
Description: partial 16S ribosomal RNA
Rfam family: Bacterial small subunit ribosomal RNA
Source: RNAcentral